AACGAACGCUGGCGGCAUGCCUAACACAUGCAAGUCGAACGGGAUCCUAGCUUGCUAGGUGAGAGUGGCGGACGGGUGAGUAACACGUGGGAAUCUGCCUUUUGGUUCGGGAUAACCGCGGGAAACUGCGGCUAAUACCGAAUGCCCUCGAGAGAGGAAAGAUUUAUCGCCAGAAGAGGAGCCCGCGUCCGAUUAGGUAGUUGGUGGGGUAAAGGCCUACCAAGCCGACGAUCGGUAACUGGUCUGAGAGGAUGAUCAGCCACACUGGGACUGAGAUACGGCCCAGACUCCUACGGGAGGCAGCAGUGGGGAAUAUUGGACAAUGGGGGCAACCCUGAUCCAGCAAUGCCGCGUGAGUGAUGAAGGCCUUAGGGUUGUAAAGCUCUUUUGCCAGGGAAGAUGAUGACUGUACCUGGAGAAUAAGCCCCGGCUAACUUCGUGCCAGCAGCCGCGGUAAU
RNAcentral lists this ribosomal RNA (458 nucleotides) under uncultured bacterium. Its description in RNAcentral is "bacterial SSU rRNA". It matches the Rfam family "Bacterial small subunit ribosomal RNA", at positions 29 to 524 of the family's 1533-position model. The record is from RNAcentral.